Molecule: transfer RNA, 66 nt
Filed under: Kiwa tyleri
Lineage: Eukaryota; Metazoa; Arthropoda; Malacostraca; Decapoda; Kiwaidae
Description: tRNA-Leu
Source: RNAcentral
UCUAAAAUGACAGAUAAUAUGUAUAAGAUUUAAGAUCUUACAAUGAGAAUUUAUUCUCUUUUAGAA